This 220-nucleotide unclassified non-coding RNA is filed under the name plant metagenome. Its description in RNAcentral is "partial contains small subunit ribosomal RNA and internal transcribed spacer 1". The stretch from base 1 to 46 matches the Rfam family "Eukaryotic small subunit ribosomal RNA", at positions 1786 to 1831 of the family's 1831-position model. The record is from RNAcentral.
AAGUCGUAACAAGGUUUCCGUAGGUGAACCUGCGGAAGGAUCAUUAAUGGGUUAUUGAACUUAGGUUCAACCUCCAACCCUGUGUCAAAUUACCAUGUUGCUUUGGCAAGCCAGUCUUUUGGCUGCCGGGGGUCUUGAGACCUCUGGUUUGUGCUUGCCAGUGCCCCAAUUAAAAACUCUUUUUAACCAUUUGUCUAAGUCAAAAGUUAAAUAUUUAAAA